AUUAUAGAACGUGGGGAGCAUGAGAAAUACACGGAGGUGGAAACGCCGGAGUGGCUGGCGGGUAAAGGCAGCGGGCGCAGAUGAAGCGGGCUGGGCGUCCCACGCGCAGAACCGUCCCGGACAGAAGCCGCAGGGCUGCGCUGGCUGGAAAAAGGAACGCGAGUACAGCGCGCGUGGCGCGGGGUCUGCUCCAGGACGGAAUCUUUUGGGUGGCCCGCAUGAGGGGUUUGCAGGACCCCGGGCCUUUGGGAAGUUAUCUGCUAAACUCCAGUAGACCCUGAGGAGCAGCGGCUCAUGAAUCUUCUUAAACUUCUGUCAUCAGCGGCUGGGCCAGCUGAAGGUGACCAUGGCACACGAGGGAGAGAGAAGCCCGCGAGAGGCGGAGAAAUGUGGGGUCGUCCAGGAGGGUCGACAAGGCAAAGAACCUGAAGACGACCCAAAAGGAGUUGAACUUCCUCUCUUUUUAGAAGAAUGGAUUUCUCGGAGUCUGAAAAAUUUAUGGUUCUUCUCUGGAAGAAUUUUAUUUUAAAGAGGCGGCGAUGUAUUGCUUUAGUUG
This 556-nucleotide long non-coding RNA is filed under the name Homo sapiens (human). Its description in RNAcentral is "non-protein coding lnc-ANKS4B-5:5". Lineage: Eukaryota; Metazoa; Chordata; Mammalia; Primates; Hominidae. The record is from RNAcentral.